AGCAGCCGCGGUAAUUCCAGCUCCAAUAGCGUAUAUUAAAGUUGUUGCAGUUAAAAAGCUCGUAGUUGAAUUUCGGGGUUAGUAGGUUGGUCAUGCCUCUGGUAUGUACUGGUCUCACUGAUUCCUCCUUCCUGAUGAACCUUAAUGCCAUUAAUUUGGUGUUUUGGGGAAUUUGGACUGUUACUUUGAAAAAUUAGAGUGUUUAAAGUAAGCUAACGCUUGAAUACAUUAGCAUGGAAUAAUGAAAUAGGACGUUCGAUCCUAUUUUGUUGGUUUCUAGGAUUGACGUAAUGAUUAAUAGGAUAGUUGGGGGCAUUAGUAUUCAAUUGUCAGAGGUGAAAUUCUUGGAUUUAUUGAAGACUAACUACUGCGAAAGCAUUUGCCAAGGAUGUUUUCAUUAAUCAAGAACGAAAGUUAGGGGAUCGAAGACGAUCAGAUACCGUCGUAGUCUUAACCAUAAACUAUGCCGACUAAGGGAUCGGAUGAUGUUAAUUUUUAAUG
RNAcentral lists this ribosomal RNA (501 nucleotides) under uncultured Glomus. RNAcentral's name for it is "SSU rRNA". It matches the Rfam family "Eukaryotic small subunit ribosomal RNA", at positions 569 to 1075 of the family's 1831-position model. The record is from RNAcentral. Lineage: Eukaryota; Fungi; Glomeromycota; Glomeromycetes; Glomerales; Glomeraceae.